AUUGAACGCUGGCGGAAUGCUUUACACAUGCAAGUCGAACGGCAGCACGGGGGCUGGCCUGGUGGCGCGUGGCGCACGGGGGAGUAAAACAUCUGAACGCGCGUGCUCUUGGGGGGUAAAGUAGCGAGAAAGACGCUUUUAUCCCAUACGCGCUGUGUGUAAGAGCGGGGGAGACUUUGGCGCCGCGCGCUCUGAGGGUCCGAUGUCAGAUUUUGUGGUUGGUGGGGUAAAGGCCUACCAAGGCGACGAUCUCUAGCUGGUCUGAGAGGACGACCAGCCACACUGGGACUGAGACACGGCCCAGACUCCUACGGGAGGCAGCAGUGGGGAAUUUUGGACAAUGGGCGAAAGCCUGAUCCAGCCAUGCCGCGUGUGGGAAGAAGGCCUUCGGGUCGUAAACUGCUUUUGUACGGAACGAAAAGGCUCUGGCUAAUACCGGGGGGUCAUGACGGUACCGGAAGAAUAAGCACCGGCUAACUACGUG
Molecule: ribosomal RNA, 484 nt
Filed under: uncultured bacterium
Lineage: Bacteria
Description: partial 16S ribosomal RNA
Rfam family: Bacterial small subunit ribosomal RNA
Source: RNAcentral